AAAUGAAAAAUUCAAUUCGGGUUAUGAUAGAAAAACGAGAGAAAGCCAUGAAGAAUGGUGAAUCCUGCAAUGAAGAUUUAUUAGGCAUACUCGUGGAAUCAAAUCAAAUGGAAAUCCAGGGAAAUGGAAACAAUAAGAGUGUUGGAAUGACGAUUGAAGAAGUAAUUAGUGAAUGCAAAUUAUUCUACAUAGCAGGGCAAGAGACCACUUCAACUCUGCUGGUUUGGACAUUGAUCAUGUUGAGUAAAUAUCCUGAAUGGCAAUCACGAGCAAGGGAGGAAGUUUUUCAUGUUUUUGGAAAACAAAAUCCAAACUUUGAUGGGUUAAGUCUGCUUAAAAAUGUAUGUAUCACAUGCUUUCAUUUGAUUAUCUUUAUUAUCUAUUAAAAAUACAUUUUCAUGCUAACUUGUGCACAAAUGUUUCUUCCUAACUUGUGCACAAAUGUUUCUUCCGUAGAUGACCAUGAUUCUAUACGAGGUUCUAAGGUUAUACCCUCCCAACCUUUACUUCAAUCGCACUCUUAAGAAGGACAUGGAACUUGGAAACCUGUCACUACCCGCAGGAGUAGAUGUUACCAUGCCAAUACUUUUAGUUCACCAGGAUGGUGAUAUCUGGGGUAAUGAUGCAAAGGAGUUCAAACCAGAAAGGUUUUCUGAGGGAGUUGCUAAGGCAACAAAAGGCCAAGUCUCCUUUUACCCAUUUGGAUGGGGUCCUAGAAUUUGCAUUGGCCAAAACUUUACUAUGUUGGAAGCCAAGAUAGUGUUGUCAUUGCUUCUGCAGAAUUUCUCGUUCGAGCUUUCUCCUGUCUAUGUACAUGCUCCUGCACUUAUGCUUACUUUGCAGCCCAAACAGGGGGCGCCCCUUAUUGUGCGAAAGCUAUGAUACUUAAUCAUAUUUUGACCUAGAAGGUCAUGGUUUGUAGGUUGAUUCAAAGUAUGUAUCUUUUAAGAACUUGUUUGUAAUGCAUGUGUUUGAAUUGCGUCACGUGGUUUAGUGACAAAGUAUUAUUGGUUGAUGCAUAACGAAAAGAAACAAAUACUUUUGUUCUUAUAAAUUAUCCAAGACCGAAUGUCACUAUCAAGUUGUUUCUGUCUUCUCUUCAUUCCGAACAAUCUUUUAGAAUUAUGAGAGGGCGGGGUACCUGUAAAGAUACUCUUACGUUCAACAUAGACGAGUUCUAUAAGGAAAGCCAAAUGCAAGGUUCAGAGUAAUGCUACCUUUUACCAUGGAGGUCCCCUCUUAUUUAUAUUGCUUUGGUGGGCCUUAAUUUGUUAGAGCGGUUAAAUCGGACCCAAUAAGAGAUAAUCUUGCUUUGCUACCUCCUAAUUGAAAUUAGCACCCUUAUCCUGUGAUUUGACGUGGAUGCUGGUUUGUGCCAAAAGGCCAUUAGGACGUCUGAUUGGGCUACCAUUCGAAUUUCAGGUUCGUGGUAUAACACUUGCUCCCAGGCUUGAGUCUUUGUGAGAAAAAGAAAAGUCGUGAAACGGGAUUCAGCCGCAUUGUCAAUCGUUAAGCGUUUAACCGUGGGGUAUGGCAUUUUGUUUAUGGUGGUGAUGACGCGACAUGUGAUUGACAUAUCGUGUCAGUUCCUUUCUCUCCUUUUAUGCUUUAUCUGGUCAUCUCCUCGGCCUACUUAAGGUAACCAGCCAUGUCUUCUUCUACAUCUGAUAGCUCUACCCUAAGAGCAAGGUUAUCAAACUUGCGGGUUGACUCUUAAACUCGUUCGAGUUUAAGAGUCUAGUGGUGACUCACGAGUUAACUCGUGAGUAGACUCGUUUUUUGCAAACUCGGAGUGGACUCAAGCAGACUUGCUGAACUCGGUGCAAACUCGCGAGUUGGAGCCCAAGUCAACGAGUUCACCUUGCCUCGUGUUUUCGAAGUCUCAAAUCUCCACGCCUCGCCUCCACUGUGCUUCGCCUUACCUUCAUCGUGUCUCGCCUCGCCGCACUUCCUUGCGCUUCUUCGCUCCUCGUUGCAGCCCCGUUCAGGUCUGCGAUUAGGUUGGGUUGUGCUAUUGCAGUGCAUGGCUGUGGAUUUGAGGGGUUGGGAAAUUUUAAUUUUAGGGUUUGUUUAUAGGGGAAGAUUGGGGGUGUGCAGCUGUGGGUUGAGAAGUUGGAAAAUAUUAACUUUAGGUUUGUUGAUAGGGGCAAAUUGGGAAUUAUCCUGAAAGUGAUUUUUAAAGUAUUGGGUCAGAUAUUUUUUGAAAUAAGAUUAGGAUAAAAUUAUUUUUUAUUAUUUUGAUUUUGGUUAGUACAAUGAAAAUGUGGAAUUACUGCUCAAAUGUGUAACAAGUGAAAUGUAAUUAUGCUUUAAAAACAUUUAAUAGAUAUAUUUAAUAUUAUAGAAUUGGUAUAUGAAUAUUUUUUUAUUGAAUUUUUACACAAAGUAGAUUCUUACGAGUCUAUUAGUCGGGUUUACGAGUCGAGUUUACCGACCUUCCAGGAGUCUACUUAGACUCUCGAGUUUGAUAACUUUUCCUAAAAGUGUCUAGAAUUGAUGGCACCAUUUUGUAGUGUGAGGUUGUUCAUCUCUUGGACACUGAUUCGACCAAUUCUGAGAGUUCUUCAGAGUCUUUUCAUGUCAGCGAUAAUGCUGUAGCGGGUGUGGCUGCCGAGGAUGUUCGUCCUUCGGCCGUCCCAAUCACCGAUGCUGCCAAACAAGGUGCCCUAUCUAUCCGGAAAAUCGAGUAUGAGUAGGUUGACAUCAACGUACGAAAGCAUAUUUCUCGAUUUGGCACAACCACCUCGUUGAAGUCCUUUAGCGCUAGUGUAGAUAUGUUGAAUUCGGAUGCCACGAAUGGGACUGUUUCCAUUCGAAGGUGUUCGUCUUUCGACGUUGUACCGUCACUUUUGAAGAGGGGAAAGCUCUUCUAUAAGGAGCUUCGAAGACAAAGACGGGAUGUUGUCGGCCAAGCUCUUCUUGCUCAAGUCGAAAUUGUGGAACCGUUGCGUUCGGUUCCGGCUAGAGAGACACUUCCACCUCUGACUCCGCUUAAGGUUGGGAGGAAAAAAGAACAUGAGAAAUCAUCCCGUCGCUAUUUUGAUAGGUCAUCAUCCGAGAGAUCCCAUAAGCGGUCACAUAUUGAGGCCGGUACUAGCUCGUCUCGGGACUUCCUUGGCCCGAAUCUCCAUUUUGGUGACAGGAUCUCAAUCUUGCCGGGCUCGGCAAACAAGGAGGAUGUGAAGUUGGCGACAUCUUCUAAAUUGGCCUAAUCAAUCUUGGAGUUGAGCGCUCGAGUUCUUGUUCUCGGCAAACGAAUGGGUAUCGCUCUCAAGGCUCAAUUGGCCGAGUCCACCUCCUCACUUUGUUAUUAUUAUGAGACAGAGGAAAUUAAAGGUUCUGAUAUAAACUAAUGUAUAUUAUUGUGUGUUGAUAAAGAAGCAAUUUAUACAUAGGGUAACACAUGGGUACCCUUAACAGCCCCCCCCUAAAUGCAUGGUUGGAUUAGCUAUAAUCAUGAGUUUAUCCCGUACAUGAAGAAACAAUAUGCCAGAAACAGGCUUGGUAAGUGGAUCAACAACUUGAAAGCGUGCAGGAAGAUGAAGAAGUUGAAUUUUCUGCUUCUAAACUUGAUCACGAACAAAGUGUAGGUCCGGUUCAAAGUAUUUCGUUUUAGAGUGCAUAACAGGAUUUGUAUUGAGCAGAACAACACCAAGAUUAUCAUAAUACAACUUUGUUUUUGAAACUUGAAUGCGCAGCUCAGAAAGAAGAGACUGAAUCCACACAAUUUCAGCAAGGAGAGCUGCAACUGCCCGAUAUUCUGCUUCCAUACUACUUAUGUAAACCGUUUUCUGUUUGUGGGAUGACCAUGAAAUAAGAUUAUAGCCCAUGAAAAUACAAUAGCCAGUGGUGGAUUUGCGGUCAUCGACGUCAGCACCCCAAUCUGCAUCUGCAAAGCCAAUAAGAGAGGUUGUCGAGUUGUGGCGAAGGAGCAAUCCAUGUGUAAUGGUGCCAGCUAAAUAACAAAGAAUUCUCUUUACAGCUUGCCAGUGGUGAAGUUUCGGAUCAGGCAUAAAUUGACAAACACGAUUAACAGAGUAAGAGAGUUCAGGCCUAGUUAUAAGAAGAUAUUGAAGUGUACCAACAACUGACCUAUACAGUGAAGGAUCAUUGAAUGAUUCAGAAGAAUUUUUUUGGAGACGCGAAGAGGAUGUCAUAGGCGCGGGUUGAGGUUUAGCAUGGAACAUAUUUGUUUUCUGUAACAGCUCACGUAUGUGUUGAACCAAGUGGUGUUCAUGUUUUGAAGAAUCCAAAUCCUUUGAAGGAUGUUGAAGUCUCUGCUAUGCUUGAUGUUGUUGUGCUGGUUUAAAGCUUUGUUCUGGGGCAGUUUAUAUGUUGUAAUCCACCCUGUGAUUAAAUCUAAAGCAUUAGCAUUCUCAAUCUUUGUGAAAGUAAAAUGUUUUCAAACUAAGUUAAAACAACCGAUUGUUUUGUCGAAACAACCGAUUGUUUAUACUUAGGUGUUUUGAGAAAAAGAUUGAAAACUGUUUUUAAUGGUUGAACUGUUAAAGUACCAAAACAACCGAUUGAUUCUAGGAAACAACCGAUUGAUUCGAGGAAACAACCGAUUGUUUGUUUUGGGACCAUAACAGAAAAAUUGUUUUCUCUUUGACUGAGCUUUAAAUGUUUUAACUACUUACGCUCUAGUCAUUAAAUGCUUUGACCAAUCUUUUAAUGCAAUUUAAGAGUUUAUUAAGAUUUGAUAACAAACUACAUCUUUGAAUAAUUUAAAAAAAAAAAAACAGAUUUGACAAUUAAGAAUUUCUGACAAAGUUUUUCCAAAUAGUUUUUUCAAAGUGCUGAGAUUGCUAAGAGUUUGUUAUUGGUCAAAGUGUUGGAAUAUGAUUCUGCUUGUAUUGAUUUCAGAUUAUCUUCUGUAACAAGUGUAAUCCUUGUACUCUAUUGAACAAUUCGGUUCUGUGUUUGCUGAGAUUGGCUGUGUGUUCUUGAGGUGUUCAAGAUCAGCAAUCUUAGUGUAGGCCAAGGAGAGUGUGUUUCUUGAGGUGUUCAAGGUCAUUCUCUUGGUUGUUGUGUAAGUGAUCAAGUGGUGAUUGCUUAGUGGAUUUCCUCAGGGUUUCUGAGAAGACUGGAUGUAGCUCUGGUUUGGAGUGAACCGGUAUAAACAACUGUGUACAAUCUCUUUAUCUCUAACUCUUUAAAUUCAGUUUAUUUGUUGUUUGCUGGUAUAAACAACCGAUUGUUUCUACGAAACAACCGAUUGUUUUUCUGGUACUACAGCUUUUGCUUGCUGUUUUGGCUAACUGAAUUGCUGAAUCAAUUGGUUCCUGAGAUAAAUUCAUGGAGAAGGUUGGAAAAAACAUGUUUAAACAAAUUCACCCCGCCCGCGCCUGUGGUUUAAAGCCAUGUUUUCUAACAAUUGGCAUCAAGAGCUUGGUUCUUGAAAGUUAUUCAAGUUGAUCCUAAAAUUCUUUUUAAAUGGCUGAUAGACUACCUUUUUGGGAAGGUGCUUCAAUUAACAUACCACCUUUGUUUUGUGGUUUGAACUACCAGUUUUGGAAAGUAAGAAUGAAAAUAUUUAUGGAAUCUCUUGACAAAGGAAUUUGGGAUGCAAUUGAAAAUGGUCUUUUUAUCCCAAAGUUUGAAAAGGAUGGAUCUGUCAUUGAGAAGCCAUGGUCUCAAUGGACUGAUGUAGAAAGCAAAAAGGCCAAAUUCGAUUGCAUUGCCAAAAAUAUUAUAACCUCUGCUUUAAAUUCUGAUGAGUUUUUCAGGGUCUCGCAAUGCAAAUCAUCAAAAGAAAUGUGGGACACUUUGGAAGUCACUCAUGAAGGAACAAAUGAGGUGAAAAGAGCUAGAAAGCAUGCUCUCAUCCAAGAGUAUGAGAUGUUUAGAAUGCUUAAAGGAGAAACAAUUGCUGAGGUGCAGAAAAGGUUUACGCACAUCAUCAAUCACCUUAUGAGCCUAGACAAGACCUUUGAUAAAGAAGAGCUGAACAUCAAGAUCUUGAAAUGUCUUGAUAGAGCAUGACAACCAAAGGUAACUGCUAUUUCCGAAUCUAAAGAUCUAACAUCAUUAAGUGUUGCUUCUUUGUUUGGAAAGCUUAGGGAACAUGAGUUAAAGAUGAAUAGACUCAACGUUCAAGAGAGUGAAGAUAAGCACACAAGGAGCAUAGCCUUGAAAGCAUCCAAACACAAGGGAAAUCAAGAUUCUAGUGAUGAUAGUGAUGAGGAAAACCUUAGCUUGCUAUCAAGAAAAUUCAGCAAAUUCCUAAAGAGAAACCGCAACAAAGACAACAACAAGGAUAGGUAUGGAAACAAGAAACCCAAUGAAUUCAAUUCAAAUAACUAUACUUGUUUUGGUUGUGGUCAGCAAGGUCAUAUAAAGGCAGAUUGUCCUAACAAGAGCAAAGAGAUAAAGACUAGUUACAAGGAAAAGAAAGGCAAGACAAAAAGAGCCUACAUAGCUUGGGAUGAAAAUGAGGUGUCAUCAUCAGGUUCUUCAUCAAGUGAAGAUGAAAAAGCAAACAUAUGUUUGGUAGCUGAAAAUGAUGAUGAAUCUUGCAGCUCAAGUGAGGUAAGUUCACGUGCUUCCUUAAAUGAACAAAAUUAUAGUGAAUUACUUGAAGUUUUUCAAGAAACACAUGAUGAAGCUAAUAGAUUGGUUCUUUCAACAACCGAUUGAAAGAUCUUAACAGUUGGCUUGAAAAGAAAGUUAAAUCACCUGAAGAGGAUCUGGAAAAAGCAAAAAGUGAUUUUGAAAAAUUGGAAAAUCAUUUCAAAAAUGCCUCUUACAAGUGUGAUACUCUCAUUUGCACAAAUUGUGAAAAUCUUGAGAAAAAGGUUCACUAUCUUAUUGAAACUGUGGACAAACUUUCAAAGGGGAAAUCAAACUUUGAGAAUGUCUUGGCAUCUCAAAGCUGUGUUUUUGGAAAGGCUGGUUUAGGCUUUAAUCCACAGAACAAGCAAGAUAGGUUUUCAAAUUUUUUUUCAAGAAAAUUAGAAAAACAACCGAUUGUUAAGACGAAACAACCGGUUGUUACAUGCUUUUACUACAUGAAGAAAGGUCACUCUGUUAGGUUCUGUAAAAUUAGAAAAUAUUCUGCUCCAAGAGGUUUUAUGAAAUGGAUUCCUAAGGGAUGUGAUGUUUCUAACUGCAAAGAAAAGUCAAACGGACCCAAAUUUGUAAGGGGACCAAAUCUUGCUACUUGAAAUUGUUUAUGCAGGAAAAAUAAAGAGAAAAAGAAGAACUGAGUCAUCUGAUCAAGUUGUUGAAGAAAAAGGCAGUCAUUGAAGUUGAAUCAAUACUAUGCAAAAGACCUCAACAGUGAAAAGAAGCUUCUUGAUCAAAAAGCACAUGGCUCAUUGAAUAAUCAACAUAAGGAUAAGACUUUCCUUUAUUUCUUCUCAAUUUCUGUUUCAAAGUUCUUUCUUAUGGUUAAACAAUUAUUUUUUAAUCAAUGUCAUCUGCUUUAAACUGCUUCUGCUCAUGGUUAAAAUUCAAAAUCAAGUUUUUAACUGCUGCAGAAAAACUACCAAUUGUUUCUUCGAAACAACCGAUUGUUUUGAGUCUGACAACACUAUGAAGAAAUUGUUUUAAUUGCUAUUUUGAAUUUCUAUCCCUUGCAGAUCAAUUUAAAAGAGAGACUCUUGGUCAAAGGAUCUAUGUUGAAAGCUGAUUAUGUUCAGAAAGAAGUUACAACAGUUAUAAAGGAAUAUAUUCCAAAAUCUUGGAAAUUCAAGAGCCUUAAUGACUAGUCAAAGAUCACAUGUGAAGACCAUGUGAUUUUUCAGCUUUUUCUGACAUUUUCUGUGCAGAGUAGAGUCAAGUCCUCACUCUUUGAAAACCAGGUACCAAUUAAUGAAAUUAAAUUCAUAUUGAUUCUCUUACUGCUAUAAAAUCUGGUGCAGAUUUCUUCCACAAGAACAACCAAUUGCAACAUCUCUUGCAAUAUCUCUUGCAACAUCUCUUGCAAAAAUCUGUGAAGUGUGCUCUCCUCUGUUUUCGUCUCUGCUGUCAUGGAAUCAACUCCUCCCACCUCAAAGAGAGUCAAAACCAGGGCUGUAAGGUCUGGAGGAAGGCUAGAAGGCUGGUUUUCUGGAGACAAUGAUCUCAUUGAGAAGUAUAGGUAUGAAACAAGUAUCAAGAAGAUAAACAACCCCAAGGUUGUAUGCUUUGAUUGGCUGAAAAGUCAAAAGCUUGAUAAUGUGAGAAGGUUGCUCAAGGAUCAAUCUCUCAGAAAGUUCCUGGAGAUGAAGGGAAACAUUUAUCCAGAUUUGGUGAGGGUGUUCUACACAAACUUGAAUUUUGAGGGAAACAAUCUAGUUUCUCAUGUGAAAGGUGUACAAAUGGAGAUAACUCAUGAAGUAUGGACUGCUGUUGCUGGACUUAAGUUCUCUGGUCUGAGAAUCAACAAGGGAAACCUUGGUUUGGUGGAGGAUUUUAACAAAAUCCAAUUCUACAAAAGUUGCUUGAAGAAUAAUCAUGCUCAAGUUAGUACAUGCUCGGUUGGAGGUUUGAAACUUGAUGAGAGAUUGCUUGCUCUCAUUGUAACUUGGAUUCUAACUCCAAGGGGGAGUAAUCAUUCUGUGCUAACUGAAGAAGAUCUGGUUUAUAUCUUCUGCAUCACCAAGAAAGUCAAGAUCAAUUGGAUUCAUAUAAUCAAAGAACACAUGCAAAAAGCCAUGAGGUUAGGUGAUUAUCAUUAUCCAUAUGCUGUUUUGAUAUCUAAAUUUCUACUCUAUUUUGAAGUUAAUCUUGAAGAUGAAACUUCUGAGCUGGUCAAGUCAACUCAAGAGUUGAACAAUGGAUCACUCAGCAAGAUGGGUUUUACAAAAGUAGGUGGAAAAUGGAUAAGCAAGGAUGGUGAUCAUGGUGCCUCAUCUAGUGGUGCUGCUAAUCUUGAACAAGAUGAACCUGCUGAUAUGGAUGUUCAACAUGAAGAUCCACCUGAAGAUUUUCAAGAUGUUGGACCAAGUGCUGGUGAUGGACAUCAAGGAGAAAGGAUGCAAACCAUGUCGCCUUUUGAAAGACUCAUGGUGAAUAGGUUUGAUAGCUUUGCUGAAAAUCAAAGGAGCCUCCAUGAUCUCUGUGUUAGUAAUUUCCAAAGGAUUGACACCAGGUUUGACAAUAUGGAUGCAAGGUUUAUGACUCUGGAUGAACAGAUUGAAGUUGUUCAGAAUUAAAUCUUUGAUCUUCAGUUUGCUGAUGAAGAAGAAUGAAGGAAAAACAACCGAUUGUUUUUCUGGUACUAUAACUUUUGCUUGCUGUUUUGGCUAACUGAAUUGCUGAAUCAAUUGGUUCCUUAGAUAAAUUCAUUCUAGUUUUGAAAAGUUUGCGAAAACCCUCUUUAAACAAUUCACCCACCCUCUAGUUUAAAGCCAUCUUUUCUAACAGUAUGUAUUGGUCCUGAGAGAGAUGCAUGCCACCAGUAGAUGUUCGAGACACUUGAAUUCCUAAAAAAUGAUGAAGACUACCUAAAUCUUUUAAUGCAAAAGAACUCAAAGUGACAAUGAGGUUAGUAAUUCCAGUAGGUGAAGAUGCAGUGAUGAUUAUAUCAUCAACAUAAACCAGCACAAACAUAGUAUAAGACGAAGUAAAUUUAGUAAACACAGAGGUAUCACUUACUGUAGGACAAAAACCAAUAUCACAUAAAGUUGUGCUAUGUUUAGAAAAGCAGGAACUGGGUGCUUGCUUGAGGCCAUAGAUUGCCUUGUGUAAUUGACAUACAAGAGUGGGAUCAUGGGAGAUAAAACCAGGUGGUUGCUGCAUAUACACACGUUCAUUGAGAUCACCAUGGAGGAAAGCAUUAUCAAUGUCCACUUGACGAAUAGGCCAGUUAUUUGUAACAACAUGCGAAAGAACAAUGCGAAUCGUAGUGGGUUUGACUACAAGACUGAAGGUCUCACUAUAGUCAAGCCCCUCAGUUUGAUUGAAGCCUUUGGCAACAAGGCGUGCCUUGCAACGUUGAAAAGAGCCAUUUGCAUGCAAUUUGGUUUUAAAAAUUCAUUUACAACCUACCAGAGAGGCAUUGGAUGGGAGAGAAGUGAGAGUCCACGUAUUAUUUUUUAGGAGAGCUUGAUACUCAUCAGUCAUUGCUUGGGACCAUACGAGAGAAGCCAUAACUUCCUUGACAGAAGAAGGAGGAGAAGGAAUAGUAGAAACAACAGUAUAAAUUUUGGGUUUAAUGAUGCCUACCUUUGGCACGAGUGGUCAAGGGAUGAGUGUUAGUAGGAGCAGGAAUAGAAGGAAGACAUUCAAUAUUACUAGUUGCAGAAGCACCAAUGUCAGUAGUGGAAUUGCUAAUGUUACCAGUUGCAGAAGCACCAAUGUCAGUAGUAGAAUUGCUAUCAGAAACAACAUGCUCAUUAAAAGAAUUAGUAUUUGUAUGAAAAACAAUCAAAGUGGGUGAAAUAUCAAGUGGGUGCUUACGAGAAACAGUAGGCAUAGCAAAACUAUUUGAGUUCUCGUUAUAUGGAAAAGUAGUUUCAUCAAAACGAAGAUGAUGAGAAACAAUAGUCUUACCAGUGGGCAUGAGACAAAUAUAGCCUCCAUUAGUUGGACUGUAUCCAAGAAAGAGACAACACUGUGAUCUAAAAUCAAACUUAUGACUAUUAUAGGGGCGUAAAUUUGGAUAACAAGCACAACCAAACACUUUGAAAACAUUAUAAUCAGGUUUGCGUUUAAACAACCUAGCAUAAGGAUUAUCACCAUUCAAUACAGGGGUGGGAAGAGCAUUGAUAAUGUGGGUGGAAGUUAUGAAGGCUUUUGCCCAGAAACGACGAGGCAAAGAAAUAGUGGCAAGAAGCGUUAGGCCCAUAUCAACAAUAUGCAUGUGCUUUCGUUCAACAAAUCCAUUUUGUUCAUGGGUGUAGGGACAUGUAAGUCUAUGUUGAAUGCCAUCAUGUUCAAGAAAAGGUUAAAGGCAAAGAUAUUCUUUGGCAUUAUCAGUUUGAAUAGUGGAAAGUUUAGAAUUUGUUUGGUUUUCAGCAAAACUUUUGAAUUUUUUAAACACGGAGGAAACCUGAGAUUUAGUAUGAAGAACAUAUAUCCAUGUAUAUUUUGUGUAAGCAUCAAGAAAAGAGAUGUAAUACCUUGCACCAUUUGAAGCAGGUAUAGGAGCAGGGCCCCAUACAUCAACAAACACAAGUUCCAACGGACGAGAGUAAAUGGUAACAAAAGAAGUAAAAGGAAGUUGUUUACCAAGCAUACAAGCAGAGCAAAAUUUGAUAUCAGAAGAACAACAUAUAUUACAAUUCUGUAAAAUUUGUUUUAAUGUGUCAGAAUGACAGUGACCAAAGCGUUCAUGCCAGACAUUGACUGUGAGUUUAUUAUCUACAAAUGAAGUAUGAAAAACAGAGGACAUAUGAGGAGUGUGCAUGGUUGGAAAAGUGUAGAGACCAUCCUUAAGAAUGCUGCGAAGAAGAACUUUUUUCGUAGCCUGAUCAACAACACAACAAUGGUUAACAUGGAAUUGAAAAUACACAUGAUUGUCACGAGCAAACUGAGAAACACUAAGUAAGUUCUUAGUUAUCAGUAGAACAUGUAUUAUAUUGCGCAAUAGUAAACGAAAAGUUGCAGAUCUAGUAAUAGCAAUAAACAAACCUGAGCCAUUACCCAUUUUAAUAGUUUCCGUGCCUUAGUAAGGGUGCUUGGUUGAGUAGACAGUGGGAUCUUUCGUUACAUGAUGUGUAACACCACUCUCUGGGUACCAAAGCGGAUCCUCAUCAGUGGAAUGAAUGCCCAUAAGAGACGCAUUGUUGGGUUGAGUGUCUGAGAUCGAAAACUGAGAAAAAUUAGCACGAGGAGGUGGAUUGGGUUUGUGGUCAUACCAUUGCUAGCACUGAAGAGUAGCAUACCAUAUUUGCCACUAACUUGACACGUUGGUUUGGAAGAGGUCCAAGAACCACGGGUUUGAGAACGGGAGAUGCGAGAACCACAUGCAAAAUUUUGGGAGCGAGAAAACCCACGACCACCACGAUUGCUAUGGAACUUGAGAUUGACUUUUUCAUUUGUGGGAUUCGAAGGCGUCCAAGUUGUGAGAGCGACAGUUGCAGGAAAACUGAGAGGAUCGAGUUGAUGAUGGCAUUCAAGACGUUUUUCUUGUACCAGAAGCAGAGCUUCAAUCUCUGCAACUUUGUAAGGAUUAAAAUCAGGAGGAAGACCAUCAAGAAUGGUUUCGAUGUGAUCUUCAACGGAUAUAGGGGCACCAACUGCAGCCAGCGCAUCCACCGUGCGUUUGAUAUCCAAAACGUAUGCAGAGAUAGAACAAUCUUUCUUUAGAUUCUUUAAAAGGAGUUUCAAUUUCUUGAUCUGGGCUUGAAAAUUACGUGUUUAGCGUCUUCUAGAUCUGGGCUACAGAGGUAAGACCCACCAUUUGGGUUAAAAUCGGAGUGGUCAUGGACGCUAGAAGCCAUGCAACCGACAAAUUAUCUUAUUGCUUGUAAGAGAUGAAUGCAAGAUUGGGGCUGAGGGUGCCAUCGGCAGCAAAAAGACAGUGCAGAGGAACAUUAGUUCCGUCAAGAAACGAGGAAAGCAGCAACCCAUCAACAAUGGCCAGAACCUGUUGUUUCCAUAACAUAAAAUUUUUGUCAUCUAGUUUGAGCGGAAGAGGAGUAAUAAGGUGAUGUAGGGAGACGGAGGAGGAACUCUUGGUGGAGAGAACCUGGGUGGACGAAGAGGAUGAUGUAGAAGAAGGAGAAGGAGGAUGAGUGAAAGCCAUGAAAGAAAAAUGAAAAGGAACUUUCUAGCUCAUGAUACCAUGUUAUUAUGAUGAGAAAGGAUAGGAAAGGUUCUGAUAUAAACUGAUGUCUGUUACUGUGUGUUGAUAAAGAAGCAAUUUAUACAUAGGGUAACACAUGGGUACCCUUAACACACUUCAAUAUGCAGUCGACACAAACAUUUCCUUGAUCACUCAAAACAAAGACUUGGCGGCCGAACUGGCUAGGUUGAAGGUGGAGAGUGAUGGGCUACUCUCCCGCUGCCAUGAUGCCAAGGACAAAGAGAAUGGCUAUCUGUCAAGGUAAAAAGCUUAAAGCAAAGUUUGAUUGACGUAACUGCUUUCGAGCAAGAGAAGAAUGAACAACUUCACGCGACUUUACAUAAAUACUGUAUGGUUUAGAAUGGGCCAAGUUGAAAAAUACUUUUUUUCUUUUUCACAAUCGAUUGUGAUUUAAUACCUGACUCAGUUUAUUUCGACUGAACCAAGAAUGAAUGGAGCUUAAAGAUCAACACCCUAAAAUAGUUGAACUAACUAUAAAGAUAAUUUAAGAGUUUUAUUAUUUAAUUUAUUAAUUUAUAAUAUUUUAUGCCAAAAUUUAGUUAAGUGGCAAAAGAAAAUAUAAUAUUUUUAAAAUUUAUUAUAUAUUUUUAAUUUUACUUAUAAAUUUUAUUUUUAUUAACAGGCAAGAGACAUUUUGUUUGAGACACUUCAUUUCUAGAUGUUGAACUCUGUAACAUCCUAAAAUAUAUAAAUUAUAUUUUAAAAGAAAAUAAAAUAAAAUCGUAUUCUUGACAUUUUUUUUUUACAAGUACAGUUAGCAACAAUAGAAAGAUGCUUCUGAUCCAUACAAAAAUAAUUAACGCCUAUUGGGGGUAGAGAGGGAGUUAUGAGGAAAACAGAUAGGAAGAAACAGAUUUAAGAAGCUAAAAACAAUCAUUUCGUAUAUUAUCAAAAUAUACCACCAAGGGUAUAUUUAUAGAAUAUAACAAUAUUGUAUAUUCAGAAAACUAAAUACAACUUAUAAAUAUCCCUAAAUAUCCAUGUAUAAGGCAAGCAUUAGAUGGGCUCACAUACAUACUUAACAUCCCUCCUUAAACUUAUGGUGGAAUUAAUUACUACCAUAAGUUUAUCUCUAAAAUGAGUAAAAACUGACUUAGAGAGCGGUUUGGUAAGCACAUCAGCUACUUGAUAUCGUGCACGAAGGUGAACCAAAGACACUUUCUUCUUUUGAACAUAGUCUCGAACAAAAUGUGUACCGACCAGGUAGUCGGGAGCGAUGACGUGGCAGCAAGCGAUAAUAUAGGCAUGUUAAGCGGAACACCUGGCUGACGAAAGGGAAGGACAUCGGGAAGUUCGUGUAGUCGCCAAUCGUUAAGUUGGCGUGCUCCGAUCUCUAGCAUAUCUAAACCGGCGGUCACCAGGCUUGUGUCGUAGUCGCCGUAUGUGAGCGUAGGCGACCAAGUGGUCAGAGAUCGCCGAGAGGGGGACAUCGCCGAAAGAUCAGGAAAGCUUGUUCAAGGCCUUCAAAGGACACGAGUAUGGCAGAUGAAGUUAUCAGAUGAUCAUCCCCUAGCCAGAGGUUGAGGCCAAGGAACAGUUUACCAGAACAUGCACGAUGAGCAAGUAAUGCAGAUCGUGAUAGCGGCAGGCGAGACCACAGAGAAGGUGUGCAUGGUGACACCCCGUGCUCGCCAUUAGAAGAGAUCGCGCUCCAAGGCAACUAUGCACCGAGUUGCUCCUCACCUGAGUAACUUAGUCGAACAGCCUGAAGAGUAGAAGUGGCGCUCAAGCAGAAGACGUUCCAGAUGGUGACACGUGUACAGCUGGAUGCGAGCCACGUGUCCAGAGGUGUAACCGUCAGGAGAGAGAAAAUGCACAGGUAUAUAAGGAACUCUUAACAGAUUCUGAGGUACGCGCGUUUAGAACACUUCUCUACGCUUUGAGAAUACUUGAGUACACUGAGAGAGUUUUUGCACGGUCCCUUGAGUUUCUAGCUUUUCUCUCUUAGAGUUUUGGUGAUUCCGUCACUGACUUGAGCGUCGGAGCGCGAUCGGCCGCAGCGGCGCCACUCUGUAUUUUGCAGGUUCUUGAGGAGAAUCGAGGUGUGAAGGACGGAAGCUAGCGUGGUGCAAAGCCGAUCCAGAGGAAGAUACCUUUGACGUGGCAAGACUCUUGCGCUCUGGUCAACCGGUAGGAUCAUCAGGCGCCCACCGUGGGGCCGUGUAAAACCUGUCCCCAUCCACAGUGUGAGUUCUUGAAGUUUCUGUGUGGUUGUGUGCUGGUGCAACCAUUUUCCACCGUUCGUUCGAGCUUUGUUCGGUGAAUUCGAGUUUCCCGCCGUUCGUUUGGGUUUUAAUCGGUAGUUUGAAGUUUUCCACCGUUCGUUCGAGCUUUCGAUCGGUUUCUUGAAGUUUCUUGCUGAUUGCGCGGUUUUCAAUCGGUUGAUUCGAUGUUUUACCGUUCGUUCGCGUUUCUAGUUGGUGAAUCGGGAGUUUUGCUGGAGGAGCGGUAGGUUCGUGGUAAGAUUGCAAGUUUCUGUGAAAGUUUCGACGUCCGAAUCUAUCGGCGUGUUGUUGUGGUUGCGUUCUUGGAAGUUCUUGGGAGUUUGAGAGUUUCUGACCGAUUGAUUGCUGGAUCGAUCGUUUGCUGGUGAAGGUCUUGUUCGCUGAAGUUUGGUUUGCUGAGUUUUCAUGAGAAAGAUGAGAAGCAACCGUUCAAGUCCCGUUGUGCCCGUUGCUGCAGAAGGCGUCAUGACCAUGGCACAGAUGAUGGAGAUCAUGCGUGCGCUGCAGGCGAAUGUGGAGGCAUCACGCAUAGAGCAAGCGAAGAUGCAUGAAGACCUGGUCGCCUCUCAGGCCAGGAAUGAAGAGCUCAACAAAGUGACUGAGGAGUUGCGUCAAGCUCUUCAGGAGCAGAGAGGACGCCCAGUUAUUGAAGAGGUCGCGCCGUCGUCGCCACCGCGCGUUUUCCCUAUGUCGUUUGCUCAGGCGAUCACAAACACGCCUAUCCAUGCGAGCGUAGUACCUGUGAAAGCUUCUUUCACUGGCGUGGAGGACCCUGAGGCACAUCUCACUACGUUCCACACACAGAUGAUGCUGUCAGGAGACUCGGAUGCUGUAUAUUGCAAGAUGUUUGUGAGCACGCUCCAGGGAACAACGCUGGAAUGGUUUGUGAGCUUGCCUACAGGUCACAUAACCAACUUUCAGCAGUUUUCGAAUCUUUUCGUCGAGCAGUACAUUGUGAACAAGGCACCACCUAGGGUGUCUUAUGACCUGUUCGACAUAAGGCAAUACCAGGGAGACUCCCUCAGGGACUAUUUGAAUCGUUUUGGAGCACAGAUGGUCCGCUCGCCUGCCAAAGACGAGGAGAUGCUGGUAUACACCUUCAAAAAGGGCGUGCUGCCGGGACCUUUCUGUGAGGUGCUGAUUAGGGCUCACCCCGCCACGUUUGCUGAAGUAAGGCGACUUGCGAUGGCCCACAUCGCCGACGAGAGUGAGGUCGCCGAGAAGAGAGGGAGCGUGGCCCCUACUAGGCCACGUGCCCAGACUAGAAUCUAGCCGCAGAGGGUGCUAGAGACGAUGGCGGCCAAGAAGGAUCAAAGGACUCGCCAUCCUUAUGAUCCAAGAAAAAACAAGGGAAGGGGCCUAGGGCGCCCCAGGGAGUACAAUUGCCCACCAAAGUACAAGUUUGUCUUGGGGUUGGCGGAUCUGAUCGCCAUUCCCAACAUAGCGGCCAGGCUUAAGGCGCCGGAGAAAGUGGGCGACAAGGUGUUAGGACCAAAACCAAACGCCUGGUGUUAGGACCAAAACCAAACGCCUGGUGUGAGUUCCACCAGAGUUUUGGUCACACAGUGGAUUCGUGUUUGGCCCUGGGAUACCAGCUCGACAAUCUGGUCAAGAGCGGGUUUAUGAACGAUUACCUGCUGGACAAGAGGACGGGAGGUGCGUCGAGCUCCCAGCCGGCGGGUGGUGAGGCUCAGCAGCAUGAGAUGCCCACCCAUGGCGAGAUCCACACCAUCGCUGGAGGUUUCUCGGGUGGUGGAUGCACUGCAUCACAAAGGAAGAAAUACGCAAGUUCUGUGAUGACGGUGGAUAUGUUCGAGGACCACUCGCCAGAUGUGGACAUCACGUUCACGAAGGAGGAUCUUCGGGACGUUGUGCCUCACGACAACGAUCCCAUAGUCAUCUCGAUUGUCACAACGGGAAGGAAGGUCCACCGGGUACUGGUGGACCAAGGAAGCUCGACGGAUGUAAUGUUCUGGCCGACUUUCACACAGCUGCAAUUACCCCUUGACCAGCUAAGACCCUAUGGAGGGUGCUUGUAUGGGUUCGCUGGCGAUCAAGUGGAGGUCAGGGGGUACAUCGAGCUAAGAACAACGUUCACGAAUGAGGUGGCCUCGAGGACGGAGAAAAUCAAGUACCUCGUUGUGAGUGCCCCCUUAGCAUAUAACAUUCUGUUGGGAAGACCAACCCUCAACAGAAUAGGAGCUGUGCCCUCAACUAGGCACAUGAAGGUUAAGUUACCAUCGAUGGAGGGGGUGGUGAUCACCAUCAGAUCUGACUAGAAGGAGGCGAAGAAAUGCUAUGAGAAUAGCCUCAAGAACAAGAGGUCAGUAAGUUACAUCACCACGACGCCGCCUCCCGGUGUGAAACCCAAGCCAACAGAAUGGCGAGUUGUUGAUGCGGCGAUGGAAGUGGCCGUCGGAGGCGAUGUCACCAUGGUGGAUGCUGAGGUUGAGGGAGAGAGCAGCAGACAGGAAGAAGAGGGGAGGAACCACCCAGAGGAAGCGAGGGAAUUGGGAAUCGCCAGGGUCGUGAUCGCCAGGGAAACCAGACCCAAACCCGUCGAGGAGUGGCUUGAAAGGGAGAUCGGGGGAAAGGUCUUCAAGCUGGGAAGAUCUUUGGAGGCUGAGCUCCAAGACCAGAUCGCCAAGGUGAUAGAACGGCAUCUGGAUGCUUUUGCAUGGUCAGCUUCAGACAUGUCGGGAAUUGACCCCGAUUUCUUGUGUCACCAUUUGGCAAUGGACACACAAGUCAGGCCAGUGCGGCAGAGAAUAAGGAAGCUUAACGAGGAGAGGAGGCAGGCGAUCAGGGAUGAAACACAGAAGCUCUUCGCCGCAGGCCAUAUCCGGGAGGUCCAGUACCCUGAGUGGUUGGCUUAUGUCGUGCUGGUGAAGAUGAGCAAUGGGAAGUGGCGCAUGUGCGUCGACUUCACUGACCUGAACAUGGCUUGCCCAAAGGAUUCGUAUCCUUUGCCAAGCAUAGAUGCCCUGGUCGACAGUGCAGCAGGGUGCAAGUUGUUGAGUUUUCUGGACACCUUCUCGGGGUAUAAUCAGAUAAAGAUGCAUCCUAUGGAUGAAGAGAAAACUGCCUUCAUGACUGAGAGGUCGUGCUACUGACAAGGUGAUGCCUUUUGGGCUGAAGAAUGCGGGGACCACGUACCAUAGAUUGAUGGAUAAGGUACUUGCAUCAAUGCUGGGAAGGAAUGUGCAAGCGUACGUAGAUGACAUGGUCGUGACCUCGUUAGAGAAGAGCAAGCACGUCUCGGAUCUGGAGGAGUUGUUCACCACGAUUGCCAAGUUCAGAUUAAAGUUAAACCCCGAGAAGUUCAUUUUCGGCGUGGAGGCAGGGAAGUUCUUGGGGUUCCUCUUAACUGAAAGAGGAAUAGAGGAAAAUCCUGAUAAGUGUGCUGCCAUAUUGGUGAUGAGGAGCCCGGUUACCGUGAAGGAGGUGCAGCAACUUACAGAUCGGAUGGCCGCCCUGUCUCGUUUCGUAUCAGCUAGCGGAGAGAAAGGCCAUCCGUACUUCCAAUGUUUAAGGCGAAACAACAAGUUUGUCUGGUCGAAGGAGUGUGAAGAAGCCUUCGUGAAGCUUAAAGAGUACUUGGCGAGCCCGCCGGUUUUGUGCAAACCCCUAGUAGGAACCCCUCUCAGGUUGUAUUUCGCUGUGACUGAGAGGGCGGUGAGUGCGGUGCUUGCCCAAGAUCAAGACCAGGCUCAGAAGCCUAUUUAUUUCGUCAGCAAGGUUUUGCAAGGCCCAGAGGUGAGGUAUCAGGCAUUGGAAAAAGCUGCACUGGCUGUAGUAUUUUCGGCGAGGAGGUUGCACCACUAUUUUCACAGUUUUACAGUGCUGGUGAUGACCGACUUGCCCAUCCAGAAAGUCCUGAAGAAGCCUGAUGUAGCUGGGAGAAUGGUGAAGUGGGCGGUGGAGCUGUCGGAGUUCGACAUCAAAUAUGAGCCCCGAGGUCCGAUCAAGGGGCAGAUUUUCGCUGAUUUUGUGGUCGAGCUCUCGUCAGAAGCAGCACGAGUUGAAGGGGAUGAUUUUCGUUGGGUGCUCUCGGUGGACGGAUCGCCAAACCAGCAGGGUAGCGGUGUUGGAGUCAUUCUAGAAGGGCCCAACGACGUGCUGAUAGAACAGUCCCUUAGGUUUUCCUUCAAAGCCAGCAACAAUCAAGCAGAGUAUGAAGCGUUGAUCGCCGGAAUCUUGCUGGCCAAGGAGAUGGGGGCUAGGGUGUUGAUGGCUAAUAGUGACUCGUUAUUAGUUACGGGACAAGUAACAGGCGAGUUCCAGGCCAAGGAUCCACAAAUGGCGGCUUACUUGGAGUAUGUGCAGGAGUUGAAGAGUUCCUUUGUCUCAUUUGAAGUGGUGCAUGUGCCCAAAGAGCAGAAUGCCCGAGCAAACUUGCUAGCCAAGCUCGCCAGUUCGGGCAAGGGGGGUAGGCAGAGGACAAUGAUCCAAGAAACUCUGAAGACGCCUAGAGCAUUUGUGGCAGACCACCUGGUUCUUCAGAUAAGCAAGUCGACGGAGAAAGCGGCGAGGAGUCACAGGUCCUUGACCCAGGAGACUUUAAGAUCGCCGAGAAUAAGAGCAUGUUGGGGGGAGAGGGUGAACAUGACGUAGGUCUGCGCUACGCAUGAGCCAGACACAUGGAUAACACAGUACCAGUGCUGCCUGGCAGAUGGCCUUCUCCCGCUGGAUCCGAUGGAGGCUAGGAAGAUAAAGAAGAACUCCAGCAAGUUCACCAUGAUAGAUGGCGAGCUGUAUAGGUUUGGGUUUACACACCCACUCCUAGAAUGUGUGCACGGAGAAAAAUGCACUAGAAUCAUGGCCGAGCUCCAUGAAGGGAUAUGUGGAAGUCACGUCGGGGGUCCAGCUCUGGCUGCAAGAACUCUCCGUGCAGGUUAUUACUGGCCAACGAUGAGGGAGGACUGCAAGAAGUAUGCACAGUGUUGCAAGCAAUGUCAGCAGCACGCCGAUUGGCACAAGGCGCCUCCAGAAGAGUUAAAGUCAAUUUACAGCCCUUGACCGUUUCAUACGUGGGGAAUUGACAUCCUGGGACUGGGACCUUUCCCAUUGGCGAUCAGGUAGAUUAAGUACUUGGUGGUGGCGAUUGAAUACUUCACCAAGUGGAUCGAAGCAGAACCAGUAGCCCAGAUCAUCGCACACAAGAUUGAGAGCUUUGUAUGGAAGAACAUCGUGUGCCGGUUUGGUGUGCCUAAGCGCCUGGUGUCAGACAAUGGGACUCAGUUUGCAAGUCACAUACUGAAAAAGCUGUGCGAAGAGGUGGGAAUUCAGCAGGUGUUUGCAUCCGUCGAGCACCCUCAGACAAAUGGCCAAGUAGAGUCCGCCAAUCGGGUGAUGCUAAAAGGCUUGAAGAGAAGGCUAGAGAAAGCCAAGGGAUCGUGGGCUGAAGAGGUGCCCUGCAUAGUUUGGGCGUACCACACCACCGAGCAGUCAGGAACCCACGAGACCCCGUUUAGCUUGGUCUAUGGAUGUGAUGCAAUGAUUCCAGUGGAAAUCCAGGAGAGCUCGCCAAGAUUUCAGAAUUUCGUGGCGGAAGACUCAAACGAAGAAAGAAGGUUGAAUCUGGAUUUGCUGGAUGAGGUCAGGGAGGAGGCAAGGGUAAAGGCUGAGGCAGUGAAAAGGAGGAUUGAGCGAAGGUACAACUCGAAGGUGAUGCCAAGGCAGUUUAGAGAGGGCGACCUGGUGAUGAGGAAGGUCCACCAGUACGAGAUGGAAAACAAGUUAUCGCCUAAGUGGACAAGACCGUUCAAAAAUAAACGAGGCGCUCGGGAACGGCGCCUACCGCUUAGAGACAUUGGAAGGAGGGGCGAUUCCUCGCACUUGGAACGCCACACACCACAAGUUAUAUUACAGUUAAAGCUUUGUAAGUAAAAACGAACAUGAAGAGAUUUGCAAGCUUUCUGUUAAAACAGUUUGAAGGGGCACUCUUUUUUUCCUAAGGAGGGUUUUUAAUGAGGCCACCCAAUAAAGAAGAAUUUUCAAAGAGCUUAAAGCUUCUAAAGAUUGCAUGCUUGUUGUUUCGAAAGUUUUAGAAAAGAGACCUUAUCACUCGUACGUGAUUCAAGGCAAGUUUAAAGUUACGCUGCAUGCUUUCUAUGAAAAAGUUUUAAAGUCCCCAUCGCUUUUUGGCGAUUGGCGGCAUCAGUUAAAGUUUUAAAGUCCUCAUCGUCUUUCGGCGAUCGGAGGCACCAGCGACGACUAAAGACCUCAGCGCUCUCGUGCGUUUGGAGGCAAGAAAAGAAAAGACCUCCUCACCCUCGAGCGAGUGAAGGCGAGAAAGAGUAAAAGACCUCCUCGCCCUCGAGCGAGUGCAGGCGAGAAAGAGAAAAAGUCCUCAGUGCAUCCAGGGGGAGGAGAUGUACAACCUGGGCAAGUUGAGGCACCAGAUAAAGUCCUUCUCGCCGUUGAGCGAGUUCAGGCAAGAGAAAGUCCUUCUCGCCGUCGAGUGAGUUCAGGCAAGAUAAAGUCCUUCUCGCCGUCGAGCGAGUUCAAGCCAGAUAAAGUCCUUCUCGCCGUCGAGCGAGUUCAGGCAAGAGAAAGUCCUUCUCGCCGUCGAGCGAGUUCAAGCCAGAUAAAGUCCUUCUCGCCGUUGAGCGAGUUCAGGCAAGAUAAAUUCCUUCUCGCUGUCGAGCGAGUUCAGGCGAGAAAAAGUCCUUCUCACCUCAGAGUGAGUUUAGGCAAGAUGAACUGAAAAGUCAGGGGUGUUCGUGACCUUAAACGGCGGGAAGGGAAGGAAAACGCCUUUCCCCUUUUAAGUGAAACAUCAAUAUUGACUUAGUAAGACCAGAGAAAACUUCCACGCCUGUAGGCGGUGGGAGGGCAGAUAAAAUCCUUCUCGUCCUGAACGAGUUCAGGUAUGGCGUGAAGGGUGAAAGAGGUUUAAGAGAUAGCUAAGGUAAGUUCAAAGAGAACACCUCGUUAUCCAGUUCUUUGUUCUGAAACUCAGGGAAGUAGAGAAGGAUCCGAAAGGCGCCUCUACCCCCAGAUGAGGGAACAAUAGUCGAGCGAUGAAGGCAAAGAAAGCCUACAUCGCCAAAACCCUACGGCAAUCAGAAGAAUACUAGGCGAUGACGAGCGUAAAGGCUAGCCUUGCCGGACAGAUCAGGUAAACUGUAUUGUGAUGCAAGUUUAAGUUAAAACCUGCUGCCUAGUAAGUAACUUAUUGCCUUAAGUUUGCAAGUUACGUUAAAUGUCAUCGUUUGAAAGUUGAUAGUUGCUCAGAUUUUACUUUGAGUUAACAGUUCGAUAAAUUGUUAUGAGAUUAACAGUUUGCUCGAGUUCAAAGCAGUGAACAGUUAAGCCUGAAGAAUCGCUAAGUCAAUUUGUUUAAGCGAGUUCUACUGGUUAUGUUGGUUAAUCACACAGCGAGUAAGAAGCGUUUGAGGCACGGUAUUAGACAACAAAUAUCUUAAGCAGAAGGAGUUAUAUAAAGCAAUGUCAGUUCAAAUACAUAAAAAGAAAAAUUACAUGUAAAGUUCGUACAAGCAGAAAUAAGCGCCAAGUUUCAAAAAACAAGUGAUAGAGGGAGGUGAUUAAUCUUCAGAGGGCACGAUCUUCCCAUCCACCACUUCGUUGCAGAUUGACACCAUGGAGAGAUCGAGCUCGGGAUAUUGACACGAGACUUGCUCCAAAGCGGCGUCGAACCCGGCGGAAAGGACUUGGGCGGAGCUUUGCUCGAGCUCUUGAGCCUGCUUCUUCAGCUCGUCAGUUUGCUUCUUCAGUCCUUCGUUUUCUUCACGAGCUCGAGCAAGCUCUUCAGCAGCUUUCUUGUUUUCCUCCCGAGCCUGGGCCAACUUUGCAGCAAUCCUCGCGUUUUCCUCUUGACCUUUGCCGAGCUCAGCUUUGGUGUCGUCCCUCUCCUUCUCGACUUUCCCGAGGAGCACCUCCCGAUCUGCUGACCUCUUUUCAAGGUUCUCCACCUUGGCCGCAUCUGCUUUCAUUGCAGCCUCCAAGUUGGCCACCUUGAGCCUAUAAGGCACAAACUUACUCUCCAGCUCGAUUUUCUCUUGAAUUUGGAGGUGCAGUUUUUGGCGCAGAUCGGAGACCUCCUUGUGCGCCUCUUAGUUCAGCAUCCAUGGCGUCCUCCAGCCUUUUGGUGACGAGGCCGUCCUCAGUCGCCUCGUCAUCCUCUUCUUCCUGUACCACUUGAGGAGUUUUCCUCUUUGGCUUCCUCAAGACAAGUGUUUUUCUUUGGGGGGCGGGUAGUGUCUCCGAAGGAGUUAGACCUUGGGAAGGAGUUAUGCCCUGAGCAACGACGAUCUCCACCACCGAGUUAGGCACGGUUUGGGAACCUGUCGCCAACUUGUGAGAUCGGGCGAUCACCCUCAGUUCAGCUAGUUUACCUUUGUCCAACAUGAAGUCUGCACAGGGUAGAAAAUAGAUGAGUAAGCACAAAAGCAAAAGCAAGAUAUACAAGUAUAUGCACGCAGGAAUAACGCAAGCAAGUGGCACAUGGAUUCAAAAUCAAGACCAAUGCAGAACAAGCAGAACGCCGAAGGAUGGAAUGGUAGGAACGUUGAGUUAGUUCCAACACAAAACAAGAGUCUUGGUGCUGGAGAAAGGGCUAACCUAUGUGAGCUUCAAGUUGGCCCUCGAAGAACUCGAAGGAGAUGAUUGAGGCGGUAGGGAAAGUGAUGUUGGCAGCUGCUACGCUCUUCCAGAAAAGGCAGAGAUCUUUGUCUAGCUCGCCCAUGUUGUCAGGACUCCUUGGCCUCCUGAAGCAUUCCUUGGAGUCUUUGUUCCCCUUGUGUACCCAGUACAAGGGGAAACCGUCGAGCAGUGAGGGAUCUUGCUCGUUUGGGCGCACCUUGAUGAACUUUCCUUUCAAGUCUUUGUAAGAUUGUUGGAAGAUCGAGAGGAUUGACCUCCCAGCAAUCCCGUUUAAGCUAAUCCAGAGGCGGUCUCCUUGGCGGGGUUACCUGAGCGAGGUUGGCGUGAGAAGUUGCAGGCCUCUCAGCCUGGGUAGAAGGAGCACCAGAUGCUCGUGGUGGGUUACGCGCUGGUGGAGGAUUUGCCCCAGGAGCAACCCUACGUGCUUGGGGUGGAGGGUUUCGCGACGAAGAAGGAGGGUUCGCGGUGGAUUUUGUGUGAGUCAUCGCAGGAACUGCAAAGGAAAAUGAAAGGGAUGAAACAAAGCCAACAGAACGACUCGAUUGAGAACAAAGAAGACAGAGCGAACGAACAAGAGUUCGUUGGGAUGAACGUAACGAAGAACGAAGCCCUAAGCUACGAGAGAAGGAGAAAGGGAAAAACAGCCCACAACGUAUGCUUCAGACAGAUAAUGGAUGAUGCGAAUCGGUUAAAAUGCAGCAAAUAUCAACCGAAGAAGUAAAAGGGGUACCUUUUGAUGAUCGGAUGAGCGUUGAAGAGAGUUGGAGAUUGAGAGAGUUGAGAAGCUUCGUGGGUUCGCAGAGAAAAACUUAGAGCGUUCGAGAAUGCAGAAAGAUGAUGGAACAGUGGAAGUGCAAGGGGUUUAAGGGUUUUUCGAACGUUUUCGGAAGCGCAAACGACAACUGAAGAUGACUGUUGAUGGAGCCACGUGUCAAGCGAUUGGAAAAAGGGGUUUGGUGGAGCGUCGGAAAAGCUGAGGGUACGGACAUUUGGAAUUCCGUGCCAGCGCCACGUAGAUCGACGGUGAUGUGACCUCUUAGUCUUUUCGCUGGACAAGUCUUCGCUUAAGACUGGGGGCCUUGUGUACCCACCAGGUAGUCGGGAGUGAUGACGUGGCAGUAAGCGAUAAUAUAGGCGUGUUGAGCGGAACACCUGGCUGACGGAAGGGAAGGACAUCGGGAAGUUCGUGUAGUCGCCAAUCGUUAAGUUGGCGUGCUCCGAUCUCUAGCAUAUCUAAACCGGCGGUCACCAGGCUUAUGUCGUAGUCGCCGUAUGUGAGCGUAGGCGACCAAGUGGUCAGAGGUCGCCGAGAGGGGGACAUCGCCGAAAGAUCAGGAAAGCUUGUUCAAGGCUUUCAAGGGACACGAGUACGACGGAGAUUUGAAGCCAGGGAACAGUUUACCAGAACAUGCACGAUCAGCAAGUAAUGCAGAUCGUGAUAGCGGCAGGCGAGACCACAGAGAAGGUGUGCAUUGUGACACCCCGUGCUCGCCAUUAGAAGAGAUCGCGCUCCAAGGCAGCUAUGCACCGAGUUGCUCCUCACCUAAGUAACUUAGUCGAACAGCCUGAAGAGUAGAAGUGGCGCUCAAGCAGAAGACGUUCCAGAUGGUGACACGUGUACAGCUGGAUGCGAGCCACGUGUCCAGAGGUGUAACCGUCAGGAGAGAGAAAAUGCACGGGUAUAUAAGGAACUCUUAACAGAUUCUGAGGUACGCGCGUUUAGAACACUUCUCUACGCUUUGAGAAUACUUGAGUACGCUGAGAGAGUUUUUGCACGGUUCCUUGAGUUUCUAGCUUUUCUCUCUUAGAGUUUUGGUGAUUCUGUCACUGACUUGAGCGUCGGAGCGCGAUUGGCCGCAGCGGCGCCACUCUGUCUUUUGCAGGUUCUUGAGGAGAAUCGAGGUGUGAAGGACGGAAGCUAGCGUGGUGCAAAGCCGAUCCAGAGGAAGAUACCUUUGACGUGGCAAGACUCUUGCGCUCUGGUCAACCGGCAGGAUCAAAAUGCAUAUCCAGUUGAAAGUAUUUGGUCCUGGAGUGCAUAAUUGGGUUAGCACUUAAGAGAACAACUCCCAAAUUAUCAGAAAAAAAUUUAGGUAAAGAAGGGUGAAUGUGUAGCUCAUUGAGUAAAGAUAGAAGCCAUAUAAUAUCUACUAAAAUUCCCGCAAUGCUUUUAUACUUAGCUUUUGUACUGCUUUGUUACACAACUUUUUUUUAUGAGAACUCCAUGAUAUAAUGUUUGAACCAAGAAAAAACGCUUAUCCUGUCGUUGAUUUUCUAUCAUCCAGAUCUGUGCCCCAAUCAGCAUUAGCAAAACCAAGGAUGGAGGACUGAGAACUGCGUUUGAUAAGAAGGCCAUGAUUGGUGGUACUAGCAAAGUAGCGAAGAAUUCUUUUGACUGCUUUCCAAUGAUGAUCUUGUGGGUUAUGCAUGAACUGGCAUGCUUUUUUCACUACAUCAGAUAAAUCAGGUCGAGUGAUGAGAAUAUAUUGUAAAGCUCCUACCACAGAUCGAUAUAAAGUAGCAUCUAAAACAGCAGUGGAGCCAUCCUGUUGAAGGCGAAUAGUAGACAACAUAGGGGUUGGUUGAGCUUUUGCAGUGGCCAUAUCACUACAUCGCAAAAGAUCGUUGAUAUAUUUAGGUUGAGAAAGGUGAAGACUUCCAUCAAUAACCUUUGAAACUUCAAUGCCAAGAAAGUAAUGUUGUGGACCGAGAUCCUUAAGAGCAAAUCUGGAACUUAAAUGAGAAAGAAGAGAUUUAAUGGCAUGCGUAGAUGAUCCAGUGAUGAUUAUAUCAUCCACAUAAAUGAGCACAAAUAACGUAGAAGUAUUAGUAAACUGAAUAAACAGAGAAGUAUCACUUUUUGUAGAAUGAAAACCAAGAUCUUUAAGAGUACAACUUAGCUUAGUAAACCAGGGUCGUGGUGACUGUUUUAAACCAUAUAUAGCUUUAUGUAACUUACAAACAAGAGUAGAAUUAGAGGAUUCAAAACCUGGAGGUUGAUUCAUGUAGACAUCUUCUGUGAGAUCUUUAUUAAAAAAUGCAUUAUUAACAUCAAUUUGAUGUAUAGGCCAAUUGUUAGAAACAACAUGAGAUAACACAACUCUAAUGGUAAUAGGUUUGAUAACAGGGCUAAAAGUUUCAUUAUAGUCCAAACCUAGAGAUUGGAUGAAGUCUUUUGCCACUAACCGUGCUAUAUGUCGUUGAAAUGUACCAUCUGCAUUGAACUUGUUUUUGAAAAUCCAUUUGCAACCCACAACUUUAACACCAGAGGGCAGAUAAGUGAGACUCCAUGUUCUAUUUUGAAGAAGAGCUCGAUAUUCAUCUUGUAUAGCUUGUAACUAAGAUGAGGAUGAUAAGGCAGCUUUAAGAGAGACUAGUUCGUGAGCAUAAAAGACAGUAGUUGUAUAAAUCUUAGGUUUAAACACUCCAGCUUUGAAUCGAGUUAUCAUAGGAUGAGCAUUGUCGAUUAUAGGAGGAUCAGUGGAAACCUCAUUAAUAACAGAAGAAGGAAAAAAAGUUUAUGAGGAUAUAAAUGGUGUAGUGUGUCAGUUUCUUGAAGCAGAUAUGUUUGGUUACUUGAUGUUUCACAUAGCAAUCGUUAGGAAAAAAAUUCAAAGUAGACAUUAUUAUCUUUGGCAAACUGAGAUACACUAAGUAAAUUUUUUGUGAUGUGAGGAACAUGAAGAAGAUUUCGUAAGAUAACAGCUGUAUUAGUGUGUGAUGAAGUAUAUUUCGCAGUACCAAUAUGUGGAAUACGCAUACAUGUACCAUUACUAAUUCGAACUUGAUCAGCACCUUGAUAGGAGGAUUUAUUGAUAAAGACUUCUGAAUCAUUUGUGAUAUGAUGGGAUGCCCCACUAUCAGGGUACCACAGACGAUCAGUUAUGGUGGAUGGUGCUCCAAGAAUGGAGGAUUGUUCAUCUAGGUGAGAAGGAAAUUGAGACAUGUUAGCAGUUAAGGAAUUUUGUUUAGACUGAUCAUACCUUUGCCAACAAUGAAGCGCUGUAUGACCAAUUUUGCCACAAAUCUGGCACGAAUGUUUAACGGUGUGCCAAGGCAUAUUGAAAUUUGAAGCAUUGUCGUUGGGAAUACGAGCUUUGGUAAAGCGAUUGGAGCGGGAAUAACCAUGGUUUCUUGAAGGCAUACGUCCACCACGAGAAGAAUUAGGGUUAAACCGAGAACGAGAAUUUGUAGGGUUUGUAAUAGUGACAUUUCCUGAAACAGCAUUGGCUUGGAGAAGAGACGGUUGAAUUUUGUGCUUUUCAAAAUGCUCUUCUUGAGCAAGGAGCAAGGCUUCAAGGUCAUCAACACUAUAUGGAUCUGUGCGUGAUAAAAUUGAUGUAAUGAAACCAUCAUACUCAUCGGAGAGGCCAUCAAGAAUCGCUUCGAUGUGUUCCUCGGUGGAGAUAUCAGCACCGACCGCUGCCAAAUUAUCUACAGUUUUCUUAAUAUCCAGAAGAUAAGUGGAUACAAACUUAUCAUUUUUGGGGGUUUUAAGAAUAAGCUUCAAUUUCUUGAUUGUUGCCCUGGUACGAGAUGCGUAUGAAGUGCAAAGGCGUUUCCAAAUGUCAGUGGAUUUCUCGAGACCAACCAUCUUCGUGAGAACUGUGGACGUCAUCGACGCAAGGAGGCAGGCAACAAUAAGGUGAUCUUGCUGGGUAUAGUGAAGAUAGUCAUCGUUAGGUUUGAAAAGUUGACCACGGUAGGUAUCGAUCAGGGACACCACUGGCGUCAAGAAAAUGUUCAAGAUUAAGACCCUAAUUGUAGCCAGAACUUGCUGCUUCCAAAGAAGAAAGUUGUCAUUAUCUAGUUUUAGACUGAUGGGAAUAAUGAGCUGAUGUGGGAGAAGAGACCCCAUGGGAAAGGAGGAAGAUGAAGAAUUGGUGGUGGAAGAUGUAGAAGAAGAAGAAGUAGUAGCGGAAGACAUGGCUGAAGAAAAAAAAUUCAACUCUGGAUACCAUAUGAGGAAAACAGAGAGGAAGAAACAGAUUUCAGAAGCUAAAAACAAUAAUUCUGUAUAUUAUCAAAAUAUAUCACCAAGGGUAUAUUUAUAGAAUACAACAAUACUGUAUAUUCAGAAAACUAAAUUCAACUUAUAAAUAUCCCUAAAUACCCCUGUAUAAGGCAAGCAUUAGAUGGGUUCACAUACAUACUUAAUAGGAGCAAAGAAAAUUUAUGAUAACUACAAGAAAUCGAGCCAGCGGAUUAGAAGAAGCAAUGGAAAAUGUGCAUGUAGCCUUAUUCACGGCUUUUCAAAACAAAGUGGUUGACGGAGGAGUGAGGAGAAAAUCCAUGUCGUCCAGAACGAGAACGAGGAUUUGAGAAGAAGAUUAACCGAAAGGUUGCCAGCACCCCAAAGCAACAAAAUCAAUCAGGAGAAAACUUCCAAAACCAUGCCCACCUUGUCCUUGUCUACAACGACCCGACCAAUGAAAACCGCCAGUCAAAACGGUGAGUCCAAGCCCUAUGUCUCGAUAUAUACGUUUAGGAUAGUCGUUGGAGCGUGCUGACACCCUUUUAUUGAUGAAAUCAUGGAAGUCCUCUCGAUUUGGAAAGGGCUGAGGAUGGACAAAUACGACAAAAUGACCGAUUUCGACGAGCACAUUGACAUAUAUGUUAUGCACAUAAGCCUGUACACCGCAAACAACACAGUGAUGUGUAAAGUCUUCCCUACCUCCUUCAACCAUACAAUCGAAGAGUGUCAAACACUAAAGUACAAGAUUGAAAAGGUAAUCCAAGCUAGACAUUUGAAAAUAUUUGUUAAGACCGAAGAGUAUCGAUACAGGACACAAUCCCCUCUAAGGGAAGAAAGAUAAUUGGUGCAUCAAUAGUCACUACCAUGAUAAUGACCGAAGUAACGACGACCAAUCAAGGGUAGCAGAAAGACCAAGGAUGAAAGAGCCUCUGGACGCACCUUUGAGAGAUGUAAUAAACACUAUAUAUAGUGGGAGGAUUAACGGAUAGGGAGUCUCGGCAUCAGCUCGAAAAUGACACCUCCGAGUGGUGCAAUCUGUAAACCAAGUGACAACGUCCCCCCGAAGAAGGCCUCCCAUUAUGUUCACCGAUGUCGAUUUCAAUGGAUUUUACCCACUGUAGGAUGAUCUCAUGGUCAUUACAGUUGAAAUAAAACAAUUCACAAUUAUGAAAACACUUGUGGACCAAGGGAGCUCGGUGGAAAUCUUGUACUGAAAAACGUUUAAGAAGUUGUAGAUAUCUGAGGCCGACAUCUGACCAUACGAUAAGCAAAUCGUGGGGUUCUCGGGUGAAAGGGUAGAUACCAAAGGGUAUAUCGACUUGUUGAUGACUUUUUACGGCAAGUGCACCACGUUGUCAGAAGUAAUAAUUUGUCCCCCUAAGGACGAAUAUCGAUCCCACAAGGAACAAUUGACUAUUCAAGUACAAUAUUCGCUAAAUAUAAAACAAAAAAAAUAAAAAGUUGGUUUGAAGUUUGUUAUAAUGGCAAUAAUUAAAAAGAAAACAAAUCAAAAAGUAAUUGCUUUAAUUGGAAAAAUAGGGAUUGGAUUUCACCUGUCUCAUUCUUAUGUAUUUUGAUUAGCAUGUUAACAUUAUGUUCUUUGAUUGAAAUUGUUGCCCGUAUUAAAGUCAUUUAUAUCGAUUCCUCGCAUAUAAAAUUCUUAAGAAUGUUCCCUAAAUAUCGAUCUCUUGCAUAUUUAUAAGAACAACUUAGGAUCAUGCUCAGACCUUUAUAACAAUUAACAUUUCAAGUCUAUUUCUAACACUCAAAUAUGUUAAAUAUUGUUGUUUAGGUCAAGACCCUAAAAAUACUUCCCAAUUAGAUUUAAGAUCCUUAAACAUAUCACAAAUAUUUAAAAGCAAAACAACAAUACCAAUAAUCAAUCAAGAACAAAAUAUUAUAUCAUAGUUAAAUAUCACCUUAAUACAUAAGAGUUUGAACAGACUACUCCAAAUCCCAAAGGGUAAAAUUAGCCACGCAUACUUCUAGCACCUUCCAUUCUUCCAAUUGGUUACAAUUCACUCAACGAUGUUUUCCUCUCAACCUGGCACACUAGGGUUGUGCCUAUAACCCCCUAUUUAACCUAAUUCGCUAGGGUUAGGUGACUUCCUGCGUUGCGCUUUGGGCUUGUUCAUAAAAACAUAAAAUUAGCCCAAUUAAUCUAACGCAUUUUCGCUACUGAGUUGAACUUUUUUUCUCUCUUUUAUGCAUUUUGGGCCUUCUAGCUUUCUCCUUUUAUCAUAUAUAAUUUUUCUUUAGUCAAAUCUCCAUUCUUCCCUAGAAACUUGUAAUUAACAACAAAUUUGGAAAUAAAAUGUUCUUAUUCAAUUAAAGAUCAUAAAAAAUGUAAAAAGGUAUAAAUUCAUAAAUUAGGGAUUAUUUUAUAUGUAAAUUAGCAAUUAAUACUCAUAAGUGUCUAUAUUUUAAUAUGAAAUAUUACGGAAAUUAGACACUUAUCACCUGUACACCAUGUUUGGGGAGGGAACCCUAAUUUAUCGAACCAUUAAAAUUUGGUAUCUCAUUGUUGACGCCGACACUUCUUACAAUAUUAUGUUGGGUGGACCCUUUCUAUAUUAGCUCGACGCAAUAGUUUCUAUCCCCACCUGACAAUGAAGUUUUCAUCGACAUCAGAAGAUAUCCUGAUAGUCCAUGUCGACCAAAAGACAGAAAGGGAAUGUUAUGCCGCUAGCCUACGGGUGCGGGUUCCGAUGAGAACUGAAAACCAACAACCAAGCACGAGCAUGAUUGCCACGAUAGAUCUCAAUCUGAGAACGAAGGAUGAAAUACGAAUGCAACCAGACAAUGAAACCACAAUUGUAGAAAUAAGAAGCGAAGGCAUCACGAUGCAAAUAGGCACCUCCUUAGCAACCGUCAAUGGCGAAGUGUUGACCAAAGCUCUCGUCGAUAAUGCCGAACUUUUUACAUGGACAACAGCCCAAAUGUUUGGGACCUGAAUGUUUUCUCUCACAAACUCUUGAUACAAAAAGAUGUUUGUCCCGUGGCACAAAAGAAAAGGAAGCUUGGGGAUGAAAAGAGGGAGGCGGCAAAACAAGAGGUUGACAAACUGUUGAAGGUCAAUUUUAUCACCAAAGCCAAAUAUAGAACUUGGUUGCCAAAUUUGGUUCUGGUCAAGAAGUUGAGUGGGAAGUGGAGAAUAUGCACGAACUACACGAACCUCAAUAAGACUUGUCUAAAGUAUACAUAUCCUCUGUUAAACAUUGAUCGAAUCGUAUAUAGAGCAGCUAAACACAAAAUCCUAAGUUUUCUUGACGCAUACUCCUGUUAUAACCAAAUUCGGAUGCAUCCUAGAGAUUAGGAAAAUACCACUUUCGUGAUGGACAGGGCAAACUUCUUUUAUGAAGUCAUGCCUUUUAGGUUGAAAAAUGUCAGAGCCACACAUCAAAGGUUAAUGGGGCGGAACAUUGAAGUAUGAAGUCUGAAUCCUGCUAAGAACACGUCCAAGAUUUGAAGGAAGUGUUUGAUGCCCUCAAAAGUUAUAACUUAAGGCUUAAUACAAAAAAGUGUACACUCAGCGUUGAAGAAGGAAAAUUCUUAGGUUUCAUGUUGACCCACAAGGAAAUUGAGGCCAACCCUAACAAGUGUAGGGAAAUAGCCGACAUGUGUAGUCUCGCCAACAUGAAAGAAAUCCAAAGACUUAUGGGUAGACUCACUUCACUCUCCCGCUUCAUACCCAAACUAGCCAAGAAGACUCGACCAAUUAUCUUCUUGAUGAAGAAAAAAUCCAAGUUUGACUGGACUGACGUGUGUGAAUUUGUUUUUCUAAAAUCAAAACUACAAUUUAAUCCCACCGGUAAUCCAAAAGCCGAAGGCGGAACACCCUAUCAAGAUAUACCUAGCCGCUUCAGAGGAAACAAUAAGCUCAACCUUACUGCAAUAAGUAAAUAAGGAGAAGAGACCAAUUUACUUCGUAAGUCAGACGUUUCUAGGUGUGGGAACUAGGUACCAAAUGAUUGAAAAAGUGGCCUUCACCAUUGUAACCACGUCGAGGCGGCUAAGACCGUAUUUUCAAAAUCACAGAGUUUUUGUGAAAACAGACUACCCCGUAAGCAAGGUCAUAUGUAAACCAGAUCUCGCGAGAAGAAUGAUCGGAUGGUCGAUCGAGCUAUCCGAGUUCGACAUUAAGUUCGAACCUCAGGGCCUAAUAAAGUCUCAAUGCCUGGUUGACUUUGCAAUAAAAACCGAGCCUAAAGAAACGUGGCGUGCACUAUGGCGAACCAAAUUUCAAGUUCAGUAAAAUGGAAACCUCAUAAUAUUGUUUUUGUCAAAAGAUAACGAUUGACCGAACAUUUCUUUACACUUUUUAAAAAAUCAGCAUUUAAAGUUUUUAUAGGAAGAGCUAAAAGGGGCAAACAAAAAGGAGUGUGGAGUGUCAACUAACGAUAACCACCCCACUGAAAAAGUCGGAUGCACUAAAGUAGUGAAGAAAAAACUAGGGGGUAGGAGACAGCCGCAACAUGUCGCAAAUGAAGCGAGAGGCUUAGUCGCCCACGACUUCAGAUGGAGCUACAUGGGGGUGACGUUCAGCAUAUGAAGAACAUCCAUGGUGAAGUCAUCAAGGGAAAAGUAGAUAUGAAGGUUGGUAAUGAAGCAUGUAUACACAUAGAAGAAGUCGGACUCGACUCUCUCUCGACCAUGACACACAUUGUCAAUUGCAUAACAUCGGUUGGUUGAGAUAAUGUCGACUUCCACAUCCAAACUCAACAUAGGGGACUUCAAAAUGAAGGAUCUAAUCAAAGAGGACCACCUAUAUCGAGAGAAAUGCUCAGUCAGCUUAUUAUCUACCCACUCAUAUCCCGUGCGCAAGGGUAGGUUGUUUUCACCUUGAUCCAUAGCUAAUUGUUUGGCCGAGUCAGGGGCAUCCCCCCGACAUGAACCUCUCUUGGAUUCCAUCUCUCAUGUACUACUUCCUUUGACAACUGAAUGGUUACAAAUCGAAUGGUUACAAUGAAUGUUGAACAAAUCCAUAAGAGUUACAAAUCCCGCCAAGAGGACAAAUCUUCUAGAAACAAUGUGGCUCUACAACAAAAGCUUUAAGAGCGAGGGGGCUAGUGUGCCAUCAAUACCAAUGGCCGAAUGCCACUACCAGGUGUCAUGGCUGAAUGACCACCCAAUUGAAAGACCGAACCCAUGCGAAUGAUAUGACCGAGUCUGUUUUUAGUAAACCAACAACUAAUAUUUUAUACAACGCAAUUAGCCACAUCAAAAAUACAAAAUCUUAUUUUAACACCGAGAUUAACUUUGUGGUCUAUCCUAAUACAAGUCCAAAAUCAAGGAACAAUUAGAACCUUAUAAAUAUGCACUAAAUUAAAAAAACAAAGAUAGACAUAAUUAAACAUUAUUUAUUACUUUUAUCAACUCUAUGCAGAUAGAUUCUAAGUUAACAGAUUUGAGUACCUUUUACAAAUAUUAGUCACCAACUAUCCAAGAUCGAAUACACUACAAAAGAGGACGACGUGACAUGAGUAGUUAGCACCAAUAGAAGCACCCCCUUCCGAUCCAAACAAAAUCACCCCUUCCUUACAAUCCAAACAAAGUCAAAUAAUAAUUUAUGUAAUCCAAAAGAUUACGUAAAGUAAAUUAAUAAACAAUUAUAAGAAAGAACUGACAGCAUCAUCACACCUGUACUUUUGGUAGUUGAUAUAAAAAAUUAUGUAUUAUAUAUUCAAAUAAAUAUAAAAAUACCCAUUGCUUUCACAUGGGAAGGCUUUGACUUUUAAGUAUGGGUAAAAACUAAAUCCACUCCAACUAUAUGAAGUGCCUGUGCAAUAGCCCUUCUCACCUCGUCCCAGUGUUACUGAAAAAUGGAGGUAUCAUCGUCAUCUUCUUCCUCAACAGCAAUACUAUGUGUGGUGACUGUCAUCAUAGCUGUGGGUUCCGUAUUGGCACUGAAGACGCUGAACUCUCUGUGGCUUAGGCCUAAGAGGUUCGAGAAGCUUCUAAGAGCACAAGGUCUUCAUGGAGAUCCCUACUCCCUUUCACCCCCCUCCUCCAACCAAGACCACCCUCCACAAAACAUGCAUCCUUCUCGAUCUUUUGUUCUCUCCGAUGAUGUUGCUCCUCGCGUCUUCUUGCCGGCUUACAACACUGUCGCCAAAUACGGUUCACUUUUCUUUUUAUUUUUCAUUGAUUAUGUAAUUCAAUUUUAAAAGUUGUUUGAAUCGAGGGUUCACUGGUAAAAGAAAAAUGAAUUAUUUGCAGGCAAGAAUUCGUUCUUAUGGGAAGGCACUACACCAAAGGUCAUCAUUACUGAUCCAAAUCACACCAAAGAAGUCUUCAAUAACAUUCAUGAUUUCCAGAAACAGAAGAUAAGUAACAGUGGCAAGUUCUUCUUCUGUGGUCUGAUAAGUUACGAGGGUGAUAAGUGGGCUCAACAUCGAAAGAUUAUCAACCCUGCAUUCAACUUAGAAAAAUUGAAAGUAAGCUUAUUAAUUUAAUUUAUCAAUAAAUAAUAUUUUUAUAGUAUUAUCUAAUUAUAAAUCGAGUUUCUUUCCUGGAAUGGUGCAUUCUCCUUGUUAAUUUCUCAGAUAAAAAAUAAAUUUAUUCUUAUAAUAGUUAAAUAGUGCAACUAAAGCACGAAAUCAAACAACAAAAUUGAAUAGAAAUGAUUGAAAAUGACUUUCCUAUAAUGUGUUUUACAAAGAAAUAGUCCAUGCCCAACUGUAUUUUUUUUCAAUUUUUAUUUAUUUAUUUUUAUUGUCUUUAAAAUUGAUUAGCUAAUUGAAUUGUGAAAAUUUUAACAAAUUUGAUAAAAAUUUUGGUUUAUAAAAUUUUGAAAAAUAUUAUUGGUUUUUUAAUUGAAAAUUUAAUGAAAAAAUAGUGUUAAAAUCUUAAACCAAACAUCGUAAAAGAUAAAUCAUAACUAAAAACGUCACAACUAAAUCCUAACUCGGAAAUCCUAAAUUAAAAGGUAAAAAAGUAGACCUUAAUCGUAAAACAUAAAUCGUAAAAUGUAUAGCUAAAUCCUAACCCGUAUCCUAACUUUAAAGUGUAAACCAUAAAUAUAAAACAUAAUACCUUGAACCGUAAGUGUAAACUCCAACCGUAAAAUUAUUUAAGACAUCAUGAAAUAAGUUCUUUUAACUUUUAAAUUAUGUAAUAAAAAUAACAUAGAAAUUUUGUAAUUUUGAUUACAUAUUGUCGAAUUAUGGAGUAUUAUUUUAUUCAGUUGUAAAAAAAGUUACGCUUUAAGUUUACGGAUUAGGAUUUUAGGGUUAAUGAUUUGGGAUUUACAUUUUUUUGACGAUUUAUGAUUUAGGAUUUAUGAUUUAGGUUUUUAGGUGUGAUGUUUUUUUAUGAUUUAUCUAUAUGGUUUAAGGUUUAAACACUUUUUUUUAAUUAAAUUUUCAAUUAAAAAACCACUAUGUUCAAAUUUUAUCAAAUUUGUUAAAACUUGCAUGACUUCAAUUAUCACGAAUUUUCUAGGAAGUAAUCUUCUACAUGUACGAAUUCAAUGUGUAAUCAAAAUCAUCUUCAAGGUGGAUUAUUUCUAUGCAAAACAUCAUUAUAGAAAAAUUGUUUUCAUGGUACAUGACUUCUUCACUAAUUUUUUUUUAUCUAGAAAUCAUGUAAGUCCAACACCACUUCUGUUGUUUGAUUUCGUGCACCUGAAACAUGAUUUACCUAUUAUGAAAUAAUGUUUUUUCUCCAUAUUAGGAAUAAACAAACUAGACAUUUUUAGAAAAAAAAAACCCUAUAAAUUGACAAAUACAAAAAGUUUGUAUUUUUUAUAUAAAAAUGAUACUAGCUAUGAUUUCUCACUGGUUAAAUUGAUGUAUAUUAUUUAAUUUGUGUUUAACAAUGAAAUAAACCACCUUUUUCUAAAAUCUCAACGUGGAUUGAUACUUAAUUGACAGAAUAUGCUACCAGCAUUCUUCCAAAGUUGCAAUGAUGUAAUUAGCGUGUGGAUGGGAAUGUUGUCAUCCGAUGGAAAAUGUGAGAUUGACGUUUCGCCUUUCCUUCAAAAGCUGACUUGUGAUGUAAUUUCCAGAACAGCUUUUGGAAGCAGCUAUGCAGAAGGAGAAAAAAUAUUUCAACUUUUUAGAAUUCAGGGGCGCCUUAUCAUGACUGCAAAGUACACUAACAAACCAAUAUUGAGGUAAGACCACACUUAUUCUUGGUAUAAUGUGAUUACUAAAUUAAGCAUUUUUAGUUUUAUUGAAAUUGAACUCACAAUGAAUUUCAUAAGAACCUCAGAGAAUCACCCUAAUAGCUAGUCAUUGUAAAUAGAGAUUAAGCUCUCCAUAACAACAAAUCACUGCUAUAAUGAUGACAAAUAACUAUGAAUUACAUACAUAUUUUGAUUUAAGGUAUAUUUGAUAUCAGUUUUCAAAAAAUCUUUGAAAUUCAAGCAAUGUGGUAUACCUAAUGACUAAUACAAGAACUAGAGUUAUUGCUAUCGAAAUUCAACGUGUUAAGAAAUUGACUUAUCGUGGUUUAAUUAAGAAUAAUUAUAAGUCUUAUAAACUAGUCAUUUACUUCAUAAUUGUUAUGCAUGUUUUUAGGCAUAUACCAACACUUGCCAAAAUGAAGAUGAGAGCAGCUGAUAAAGAAAUAAAAAGUUCACUUCGGGUUAUGAUAGAAAAACGAGAGAAAGCCAUGAAGAAUGGUGAAUCCUGCAAUGAAGAUUUAUUAGGCAUACUCGUGGAAUCAAAUCAAAUGGAAAUUCAAGGAAAUGGAAACAAUAACAGUGUUGGAAUUACGAUUGAAGAAGUAAUUACUGAAUGUAAGUUAUUCUACAUAGCAGGGCAAGAGACCACUUCAUCUCUGCUGGUUUGGACAUUUGAUCAUGUUGAGUAAAUAUCCUGAAU
This 37392-nucleotide long non-coding RNA is filed under the name Phaseolus vulgaris (common bean). RNAcentral's name for it is "long non-coding RNA (PVUL_LNC000375)". Lineage: Eukaryota; Viridiplantae; Streptophyta; Magnoliopsida; Fabales; Fabaceae. The record is from RNAcentral.